UCUGUGGAUGAACACUACACCAUUUGCUCCAUUUUCUGAGAAUUUCUCAGUGGAUGCUUUAAAAACCAAGGAUGAAUUCAGCAUCUCUAUUUUAUGUGGAAGCUGUUCUCAGCAUCAUUUGUUUUCUUACUUGGGUGGAAAAGAUAGCUGGGUAGGUGUUUUCCUCCCAGGGCCUUCUGAAGAGUUUAAAAACAGAGACUUUGGGUGUUGAAUGAAAGGUCCCUAUUCUUUCCUAAAAUACUCACAGAAUCCCAUGACUAAUAUAUAAAUAAAGAUUGUUGUAUUAGUCACCCAACAAUGAAAGAAGAAAUCCUCCCACUUCUCAAAUGCUUCCUUUCAGAGUAACCUCAAUGACCUGACUGAUUCAUGGAACUAAUUUGUAACAAUAAUAAAGAUGAAGCGGGACCCCAGACAAGCUUUCAGAACUCCUCCAAAGACCCUCACUGCCUCAUCCCGCUCUCCCGUUCCUCGGCCUGCAGCUGAUGCCUUUGAGGAAGCCCCUGUUUGUACUGACAGUGGCCCAGAAACCUCUUCCCCUUGCUCAGACAAUUGCCCAUGUGGCCGCUGCCAACUUGGGGCUUCCUGGACUUCACAAACUCAGGAGGUCUGAGCUCAGUGACACCCUGCAUCGCCCCUGCUCCCUGGGCUCCUGCCCUGAACCACAGCUCCCUGCUUGAUGAAGAAGGGUCAGCCACCUCAAGGUUCACUUCCGGGCAGAGGCCACAUCUGUUAGGAAAGAAAAUAGAUGAAAAGCAUAGUUAGCAAGUGCCUGCUGUUGGCCAGGCACCGAGCUAGGAGGUGUCUUAUUCCUGUGUCAUCUUAUUUCAUCAUGUAAAUGGCCCUGUGAGGCAGAGAUGGUUGUUUGAAUUAUACAGAAGGAGAAACACAGAGUCAGAAAGAUGAAGAAACUUGCUGAAGAUUGUAUUGUGUUCCAGUGGUCUCCAAACUGGGGUAGGUCCACUCUAGUGAAGGUCCCUGGUUAAUUCCUGCUGAUUAAGCACUAACCACAUGAGACUCAUCCAGCUGGCCAGUUUCCAGAUGAAACUGUGGUGGGUAAAUUCUUUGGAAAAGAAAAUGGAGUCCAUUUCCACAUGACCACACCUCCCCUGCAGCUAGGUAAGAUCAUGUAAUGGAAUUCUGGCCAAUGGAAUAUGAGUGGAGUUAAUGUGGGUAACCUCCAUGAUGGGCAAAGAAACACCUCCCAGGAAAAAGUCUUGAUUUUUCCUCAUGUCUGCUGACUACAUAUCGACUCUUGAAUAGACUUGAGUAUCUGCUGUUGAAGGAUGCAGAGGCUCUGUCAGCCUGGGCCCCUGAGUGACUUCAUGGAGUAUACCAUCUCUCCAACUGGAUUUUAUCUUUCAGUGGUUCAGUUUUUCUCCACUGUUUCCACCAAAAUACCAUCAACAGUAAGGAAGAACAAUGUGGACCACCAGAAGGCUGGAGUGUUUUCUGAAGCUGCUCCUGCUUGGACUUUGGUUGGAAGUCGUGAUUGUCUGAGGGUUCAUGCUGGCGCUCCCCCAGUGAACCUAGCUCACCUACCCUCUGCUCUGGCUCUAGUCUCUCUUCCCUUCUUCUAAGGGAGGCUACUGCUGUGCUCAGUGCGGAGCUGGGUUCAAGGAGAGCUGGGGCUCUGAAGGAGUCGUGGGGAGAAGGCUGACAUGAGUCCUGAGUGAGUGGACCUGCUCUCUCUGGCCCUGAAGGGGUCAAGAGGCAACUGGGUGUGUGGGCUGAGUCUUUCCUGGCCCUGAAGCUGGAAGUAGAGGCUUUGUGCAGGAUCCUCAGCAGGGGACUAAAAGCCUGUGCUUUCAUAACCCGAGCCACACUGGCAAGUGCGCUGCCUCCUCCCACCUUUGAGACAGUUGCCUUCAGGAGCACAUCUACCAGAAGCCAACAAAGAAAAGCAACAGCCUCUUGGAGGGGCCUUUCUCCAGGGAGAGAAGGGUGAGGCAGCACAGGCAGAGCUGGUGUAGGAGACACAAGACAGUAUGAAUUUCAAAAUCAGAGCAUUGAAGGAGAUUCAAAUAUGGCACAAAAAGAGUUUCUGGAGCUAAAAAUCAUAAUUUCCUAACUAAAUACCAUUCAGUAGAUUAACUGAAAAAGUGGAAGAUCACCGUGAAGAUAUGGUCAGCUCUCCUGGAGGGUCAAAGGGCAGACAGACCCCUUGAUGAAAAGGGUGGUAUAGAGCAAAUGUAGAAAGAGAUGGGAAGCAAGUAGAAAUGGGUAAGGAACAUGGGAUGGAUCCUAAAACCUUGACUUGUGAAUAGAGAAACCUUGACUUGCAGAAAGAGGAAAAAAUAGAACCAACGGAGGAGAGGUGACCAUGAUACUAACAAUAAAAGAAAACUUCCCUGAACUGAA
This 2358-nucleotide long non-coding RNA is filed under the name Homo sapiens (human). RNAcentral's name for it is "HSALNT0338134". Lineage: Eukaryota; Metazoa; Chordata; Mammalia; Primates; Hominidae. The record is from RNAcentral.